AUGCAUUCCAGCAGCUUCUAGCUGAGGGCAAAGCAGGCAGCAUUAAUCCAUUGCAGUAGAGCUCCCACAUGUCUUAAAAUAUACAGUAGCUGAAUGUCAAGAAUUACCACUUUGUGAAUAAACAUGCACAGAAUUUUGAAGAUUAAUGUGAAGGUUAAUCUAAAGCACAGAUCUCUUCCAAGAACUCACUCUGUGAAACAAACCACAAAGGUGUUAGAAGUCCUGUGAACAAGUAGAGAAUCUGAAAGGAUGGAAGACAUUUCAGAGGUCCAUUAGAGCCUGCCCACCUUCUGAAGAGGGAAACUGGUUAAAUCUGUGAUAGGACCAGACUGGACUGGGCUGUGGGAAGCAGGCACAAAGGAACACAUACUUCCUGGCAUUACCAGGAGGGAAGGAGAGGGAUAGCUGCUGCUGGACUUCGGCAGCAGGCUCUGCACAUCCCCUCACCCUUUGGC
This is a long non-coding RNA of Taeniopygia guttata (zebra finch), 455 nucleotides long. RefSeq lists it as uncharacterized. NCBI's taxonomy places the organism in Eukaryota, Metazoa, Chordata, Aves, Passeriformes, Estrildidae. The record is from RefSeq and is a predicted model, not a curated record.